GGUUGACCUAGUUCAGCCCGCAUAAGGAGGCUUAAAGCUGUGCCUAGGACCCCAGCUCAGGCACCGAACAACAGCUGCCUGGAGCUAUGGGAGGGGCAAUAAAAGGACUGCUGUGGCCACCACAACUGGGACUGCACUGUGUCAGAUCUGAAGCGAGCACAGCCCUGAGUCUCAUCCAGAGCCCAUUAUAACCAUUGCUUGGCCAACAUCUAUGUUUGUUCAAACCUCAGCGCUCUACAGUCAGCAGAUGGCAAAGCCAACAAGGCUUUUCUCUUUCCCUUUAGGGUGGAAAGUUUCCCCCCAGCCCAGAAAUGGGGUUUCACCGUGUUGGCAUGCUGGUCUCAAAC
Molecule: long non-coding RNA, 347 nt
Filed under: Homo sapiens (human)
Lineage: Eukaryota; Metazoa; Chordata; Mammalia; Primates; Hominidae
Description: HSALNT0306642
Source: RNAcentral